GACGAACGCUGGCGGCGUGCUUAACACAUGCAAGUCGAACGGAAAGGCCCUGCUUUUGUGGGGUGCUCGAGUGGCGAACGGGUGAGUAACACGUGAGUAACCUGCCCUUGACUUUGGGAUAACUUCAGGAAACUGGGGCUAAUACCGGAUAGGAGCUCCUGCUGCAUGGUGGGGGUUGGAAAGUUUCGGCGGUUGGGGAUGGACUCGCGGCUUAUCAGCUUGUUGGUGGGGUAGUGGCUUACCAAGGCUUUGACGGGUAGCCGGCCUGAGAGGGUGACCGGCCACAUUGGGACUGAGAUACGGCCCAGACUCCUACGGGAGGCAGCGGUGGGGAAUAUUGCACAAUGGGCGGAAGCCUGAUGCAGCAACGCCGCGUGCGGGAUGACGGCCUUCGGGUUGUAAACCGCUUUCGCCUGUGACGAAGCGUGAGUGACGGUAAUGGGUAAAGAAGCACCGGCCAACUACGUG
RNAcentral lists this ribosomal RNA (468 nucleotides) under uncultured bacterium. RNAcentral's name for it is "partial 16S ribosomal RNA". It matches the Rfam family "Bacterial small subunit ribosomal RNA", at positions 28 to 507 of the family's 1533-position model. The record is from RNAcentral.